AAAGCUCUUUUGGCGGGGACGAUGAUGACGGUACCCGCAGAAUAAGCCCCGGCUAACUUCGUGCCAGCAGCCGCGGUAAGACGAAGGGGGCUAGCGUUGUUCGGAAUUACUGGGCGUAAAGCGAGUGUAGGUGGUUGUUCAAGUUGGAUGUGAAAGCCUUGAGCUCAACUCAAGAAAUGCAUUCAGGACUGAGCGACUAGAGGACCGGAGAGGAUAGUGGAAUUCCCAGUGUAGUGGUGAAAUACGUAGAGAUUGGGAAGAACACCAGUGGCGAAGGCGGCUAUCUGGACGGUUUCUGACACUAAGACUCGAAAGCGUGGGGAGCAAACAGGAUUAGAUACCCUGGUAGUCCACGCCGUAAACGAUGGGUGCUAGACGUUGGCGAGCUUGCUCGUCAGUGUCGCAGCUAACGCGUUAAGCACCCCGCCUGGGGAGUACGGCCGCAAGGUUGAAACUCAAA
RNAcentral lists this ribosomal RNA (460 nucleotides) under uncultured Alphaproteobacteria bacterium. RNAcentral describes it as "bacterial SSU rRNA". It matches the Rfam family "Bacterial small subunit ribosomal RNA", at positions 427 to 905 of the family's 1533-position model. The record is from RNAcentral. Lineage: Bacteria; Pseudomonadati; Pseudomonadota; Alphaproteobacteria.